AAAAUUCGACGUUUACUGACAUCGAAAGAUGAUGUUUACUGACACCAAGAAAGAUCGACCAGACAUUUACUGAUGAAUGGGAAGACUCGACGUUUACUGACAUCGAAAGAUGAUAUUUACAGACACCAAAAAAGAUCGACCAGACAUUUACUGAUGAAUGGGAAGACUCGACGUUUACUGACAUCGAAAGAUGAUGUUUAC
This 201-nucleotide long non-coding RNA is filed under the name Lathyrus oleraceus (garden pea). Its description in RNAcentral is "Pisum sativum (pea) long non-coding RNA (PSAT_LNC000718)". Lineage: Eukaryota; Viridiplantae; Streptophyta; Magnoliopsida; Fabales; Fabaceae. The record is from RNAcentral.